AGCACUUUGAAGAGAGAGUUCAAGAGUACGUGAAACCGUUUAGGGGUAAACCUGAGAAACCCGAAAGGUCGAAGGGAGAAAUUCAUUCGCGGCUCGUAGUAGGCGGCGUGCGAUCGCGUGACACGUGACGUUUCGGCGUUGCGCGCGCCUUUCGUACGUCGAUCCGGCGACGAACGCGUGCACUUUUCUCCUUGUAGGACGUCGCGAUCCGUUGGGCGUCGGCUUAAGGCUCGAGGUGGAGACCGUAGACGGCGGUUCGCGCCGUUUUCGUUUACGGACCCUCGUGUUCGCGGUCGACUCGCUCGACGGUAUACCGAAUGGUUUAAGGCCGCUACUCGUUAGCGUUCGGCUCGUCGCAAGCGCGUCAGAUGCACGUCGGUAAUCGGACCCGGUGCCGUUUCCGACCUCUGAUGACUGUUGGCGACGAAGUUCUCGAACAGACCUAGACCGAUCGGCGACGCUAUAGCUUUGGGUACUUUCAGGACCCGUCUUG
RNAcentral lists this ribosomal RNA (493 nucleotides) under Rhynchophorus bilineatus. Its description in RNAcentral is "eukaryotic LSU rRNA". Lineage: Eukaryota; Metazoa; Arthropoda; Insecta; Coleoptera; Curculionidae. RNAcentral also lists the same sequence under 1 other name. The record is from RNAcentral.